AGAGGGUGAAAUAUGACCGAUUAAUACCUUAUUCGCAUAACCAAAACCUAGCGAAAAUAAUUCCUUCUUCUAUUACUUGAGACUUGAGAGAAUCACAAAACUUGUUCGGUUGUUCCUUCCUAGUCCUCGUAAACCCUCUUUUCUGAGAGAGGUCAUUUUUCCAUAGUUUCACCGACUUUCUCUCUCCUCCACAGCCGCCAUGGGAACACCGGAGACUUCUCGAGAACCGUGUCCAGACCGUAUCCUCGACGAUUUAGGUGGUGCCUUCGCCAUGGGAGCUGUCGGAGGUUCAAUCUUCCACUUCAUCAAAGGCUCAGCCAACUCCCCAAAAGGGGAGCGCCUCUUAGGUGGGGCUCAGACGAUGCGCAUGAACGCACCUCGAACUGGUGGGGGGUUUGCCGUUUGGGGAGGUUUAUUCUCAACCUUCGACUGCGCCAUGGUCUACGCUCGUCAAAAAGAGGACCCUUGGAACUCCAUCUUCGCCGGUGCUGCAACAGGUGGGUUCCUCCAGAUGCGUCAGGGUCUUAAAGCCUCCAGCAGGUCCGCUGCUUUUGGUGGUAUUCUUCUUGCUCUUAUUGAGGGAGCUGGGAUCAUGCUUAAUCGGGUUAUGUCGCCACCGCCUCAGAUAAUGUAUGAGGAUCCUAAUAUGGCUGGUGUGGGUAUGGGUGGACAACACGCGCCGAUGGGUAAUGCUGGCUUUGGUAUUCCUGGUCAGAUGAAAGCGCCUUCGAAUAUUGGUGGUGGGUCUGAGGAGGUUAAUCAUGGUGGUAGUGCUGGUGGUGCUGGUUCCGGGUUUUUUGGUGGGUGGUUUGGUGGUGGUGGUGAUGGGAAGAAGGAGGGUAAGACAAGUUCGAGUGGUGGAGGUAGUGAAGCUAAGGUGUUGGAGAGCUUUGAUUCGCCUACUCCUAUGCCCAAUUUUGAGUACAAAUGAGACUGCUGCUAUGUUUUCAGGGUUGCCAACGGCUGCUGCUAUCUGCUGGGUUGUUGGAUUGGGUCAGGUGAUGAUUCUGUUGGCGUUGGAGAUUUACUGGUGGAAAAUUCUUUUGGACUUUGGGACUGUGGUUGUCUUUGAGAGAAUUAGAAGUUGUAGGAUCUUAAUUAUUUUUAGUUAAACUCUUUAUGUUAUUGUUAUUGAGGAUGGCAUUCCUCUUUAGAGACAAAUUAGUUAUAAAGCAUAUGCGAUGUACAAGUUACAUCUUAUAUUGUGUGCUUUUAUAUUUUGUUACUCUAAUCAUAACGGUAAUUAGUACCCCGUGCAAUUUGUUAUAUAAGUACCUAUGAUUAUAUAGGUUCAUGUAUGUAUAAUUUUGUCCA
Molecule: RNA transcript, 1314 nt
Organism: Beta vulgaris subsp. vulgaris (sugar beet)
Lineage: Eukaryota; Viridiplantae; Streptophyta; Magnoliopsida; Caryophyllales; Amaranthaceae
Gene name: mitochondrial import inner membrane translocase subunit TIM17-2
Exons: 3
Source: RefSeq, a predicted model, not a curated record